UGUCGGCAAGAAAUUUUGUUCAAAGUCAGCUGUGACAGGCCACUUCACAGCUUUGACCAGACUGAGGAUAAAAGUCUUAGAAGAGCGUUACACUCAAAUUUAAAUACAGUACUUUUGUCCAAAUUAAAGAGUUGGAUAAUGGUGUGUAAAAAGGCAAAACAAAUGACAAUCUAUACACUUA
Hippocampus zosterae (dwarf seahorse) is the source of this 181-nucleotide long non-coding RNA. RefSeq lists it as uncharacterized. The transcript has 2 exons. The record is from RefSeq and is a predicted model, not a curated record. Lineage: Eukaryota; Metazoa; Chordata; Actinopteri; Syngnathiformes; Syngnathidae.